Molecule: transfer RNA, 78 nt
Rfam family: tRNA
About the family: Transfer RNA (tRNA) molecules are approximately 80 nucleotides in length. Their secondary structure includes four short double-helical elements and three loops (D, anti-codon, and T loops).
Source: Rfam
GGGGGUGUAGCUCAGUGGCAGAGCGUCUCAUUUGCACCGAACUUGAGAAGGCCUGGAGUUCAAUCCUCCACUCCUCCA